Malus domestica (apple) is the source of this 608-nucleotide non-coding RNA. The record is from RefSeq and is a predicted model, not a curated record. NCBI's taxonomy places the organism in Eukaryota, Viridiplantae, Streptophyta, Magnoliopsida, Rosales, Rosaceae.
AGUGUUAUUGAAAUCAGCGAUGGAAAAAUCUGCCAAAAAACGCAAGAUUUCAGUAUUCAAAUUAUGGGUUCUCUCUGACUUCACAAUUGUUGGAUCUAGGUUCUCUUCAGACUUCACAAUCUGCCAGAAAACUCAAGCAUAACUUGGUUGCCGUUCUGAUUUGAAGAAAUUUCAAACCCAUGAAAGCUCGGGUUUCCUGCUUUUGGUGUGCUGCAAAUGUUGAUUUAUUACUCUUUGCGUACACUUUGCCUUGGAGCUACUAAGUACGCCAAGGUAUACUAACUAUUUGACCGCAUGUGUGAUAGUUGCAAUAUUGUGAGGUUUUGAAAUGUUAAUUAUAAUGUUAAAAAGCCAAAAAAAUUGUAUGGAUGUGAUCGUUCAAUAUAUGGUUAUAGAGUGAUGAUUAUUGAUCUUGAUGCACAUCAAGGAAACAGUCAUGAGACGGAUUUUACCAAUGAAAGUAAGGUACUUCUCAGUCCUCAUAGGGAUUUGAAUAUUUAACUUGACCCUCUUCUGGAAUUCCAAUAACUGUUUUGCAUGAACGGGUUGAGUCUAUAUGUUAAUAGAGUGUUUUUUUUUUUAAAAAAUCAUAAUUUUGUUUUAUUUUA